RNAcentral lists this ribosomal RNA (114 nucleotides) under uncultured bacterium. RNAcentral's name for it is "partial 16S ribosomal RNA". It matches the Rfam family "Bacterial small subunit ribosomal RNA", at positions 355 to 470 of the family's 1533-position model. The record is from RNAcentral.
UGGGGAAUAUUGCACAAUGGGCGCAAGCCUGAUGCAGCGACGCCGCGUGCGGGAUGGAAGGCCUUCGGGUUGUAAACCGCUUUGUUCAAGGGCAAGGCAGGCUUUCGGGCCGUG